GAUGAACGCUGGCGGCGUGCCUAAUACAUGCAAGUCGAGCGAACGGACGAGAAGCUUGCUUCUCUGAUGUUAGCGGCGGACGGGUGAGUAACACGUGGAUAACCUACCUAUAAGACUGGGAUAACUUCGGGAAACCGGAGCUAAUACCGGAUAAUAUUUUGAACCGCAUGGUUCAAAAGUGAAAGACGGUCUUGCUGUCACUUAUAGAUGGAUCCGCGCUGCAUUAGCUAGUUGGUAAGGUAACGGCUUACCAAGGCAACGAUGCAUAGCCGACCUGAGAGGGUGAUCGGCCACACUGGAACUGAGACACGGUCCAGACUCCUACGGGAGGCAGCAGUAGGGAAUCUUCCGCAAUGGGCGAAAGCAUGACGGAGCAACGCCGAGUGAGUGAUGAAGGUCUUCGGAUCGUAAAACUCUGUUAUUAGGGAAGAACAUAUGUGUAAGUAACUGUGCACAUCUUGACGGUACCUAAACAGAAAGCCACGGCUAACUACGUG
Molecule: ribosomal RNA, 497 nt
Filed under: uncultured bacterium
Lineage: Bacteria
Description: partial 16S ribosomal RNA
Rfam family: Bacterial small subunit ribosomal RNA
Source: RNAcentral